GACGAACGCUGGCGGCGUGCCUAAUACAUGCAAGUCGAACGCUGAAGGAGGAGCUUGCUUCUCUGGAUGAGUUGCGAACGGGUGAGUAACGCGUAGGUAACCUGCCUGGUAGCGGGGGAUAACUAUUGGAAACGAUAGCUAAUACCGCAUAAUAGUAGAUGUUGCAUGACAUCUACUUAAAAGGUGCAAUUGCAUCACUACCAGAUGGACCUGCGUUGUAUUAGCUAGUUGGUGGGGUAACGGCUCACCAAGGCGACGAUACAUAGCCGACCUGAGAGGGUGAUCGGCCACACUGGGACUGGGACACGGCCCAGACUCCUACGGGAGGCAGCAGUAGGGAAUCUUCGGCAAUGGACGAAAGUCUGACCGAGCAACGCCGCGUGAGUGAAGAAGGGUUUCGGAUCGUAAAGAUCGGUUGUAAGAGAAGAACGAGUGUGAGAGUGGAAAGUUCACACUGUGACGGUAUCUUACCAGAAAGGGACGGCUAACUACGUG
Molecule: ribosomal RNA, 495 nt
Filed under: uncultured bacterium
Lineage: Bacteria
Description: partial 16S ribosomal RNA
Rfam family: Bacterial small subunit ribosomal RNA
Source: RNAcentral